Molecule: ribosomal RNA, 1355 nt
Filed under: uncultured bacterium
Lineage: Bacteria
Description: partial 16S ribosomal RNA
Rfam family: Bacterial small subunit ribosomal RNA
Source: RNAcentral
AGAGUUUGAUCCUGGCUCAGGAUGAACGCUGGCGGCGUGCCUAACACAUGCAAGUCGAGCGAUCUCUUCGGAGAGAGCGGCGGACGGGUGAGUAACGCGUGGGUAACCUGCCCUGUACACACGGAUAACAUACCGAAAGGUAUGCUAAUACGGGAUAAUAUAUAAGAGUCGCAUGACUUUUAUAUCAAAGAUUUUUCGGUACAGGAUGGACCCGCGUCUGAUUAGCUUGUUGGCGGGGUAACGGCCCACCAAGGCGACGAUCAGUAGCCGACCUGAGAGGGUGAUCGGCCACAUUGGAACUGAGACACGGUCCAAACUCCUACGGGAGGCAGCAGUGGGGAAUAUUGCACAAUGGGCGCAAGCCUGAUGCAGCAACGCCGCGUGAGCGAUGAAGGCCUUCGGGUCGUAAAGCUCUGUCCUCAAGGAAGAUAAUGACGGUACUUGAGGAGGAAGCCCCGGCUAACUACGUGCCAGCAGCCGCGGUAAUACGUAGGGGGCUAGCGUUAUCCGGAUUUACUGGGCGUAAAGGGUGCGUAGGCGGUCUUUCAAGUCAGGAGUUAAAGGCUACGGCUCAACCGUAGUAAGCUCCUGAUACUGUCUGACUUGAGUGCAGGAGAGGAAAACGGAAUUCCCAGUGUAGCGGUGAAAUGCGUAGAUAUUGGGAGGAACACCAGUAGCGAAGGCGGCUUUCUGGACUGUAACUGACGCUGAGGCACGAAAGCGUGGGGAGCAAACAGGAUUAGAUACCCUGGUAGUCCACACAGUAAACGAUGAAUACUCGCUGUUUGCGAUAUACAGUAAGCGGCCAAGCGAAAGCGUUAAGUAUUCCACCUGGGGAGUACGCCGGCAACGGUGAAACUCAAAGGAAUUGACGGGGGCCCGCACAAGCGGAGGAACAUGUGGUUUAAUUCGAUGAUACGCGAGGAACCUUACCCGGGCUUGAAUUGCUAAUGAAUAUGCCGGAAACGGCAUAGCCGCAAGGCAUUAGUGAAGGUGCUGCAUGGUUGUCGUCAGCUCGUGCCGUGAGGUGUCGGCUUAAGUGCCAUAACGAGCGCAACCCUUAUCGAUAGUUACUAACAGUUUAUGCUGAGGACUCUAUCGGGACUGCCGUCGUAAGAUGUGAGGAAGGUGGGGAUGACGUCAAAUCAGCACGGCCCUUACGUCCGGGGCUACACACGUGUUACAAUGGGGGGUACAGAAGGCAGCUACACGGCGACGUGAUGCUAAUCCCCAAAACCCCUCUCAGUUCGGAUUGGAGUCUGCAACCCGACUCCAUGAAGCUGGAUUCGCUAGUAAUCGCGCAUCAGCCACGGCGCGGUGAAUACGUUCCCGGGCCUUGUACACACCGCCCGUCA